CCCAAAAUAUUGGGACAUAUAAAAAAGAUAACUCUGUUCCGCAGAGUAGCUGUUGACAUUAUAGUUGCGCAGGCACUUUGUUGACUCUAGAGAACCUCGGGCCAAUCGCACAACUUCGUGACGGCGACUUUGCAUUCGGAUGUCAUCCAUAUCAACUUUUAAAGCCAGUUUCUGCGCCUACCAUGGUGACCACGGGUAACAGGGAAUCAGGGUUCCAUUCCAUACAGGGACCCUGAGAAACGGCUACCACAUGCAAGGAAGGCAGCAGCGCAAAUAACCCACUCCCGACGUGGGAAGGUAGUGACG
Non-coding RNA from Pelobates cultripes (western spadefoot toad), 306 nucleotides. Lineage: Eukaryota; Metazoa; Chordata; Amphibia; Anura; Pelobatidae. The record is from the annotation of a GenBank genome assembly.